UACGUAGGGUGCAAGCGUUGUCCGGAAUUAUUGGGCGUAAAGAGCUCGUAGGCGGUCUGUCGCGUCGGCUGUGAAAACCCGGAGCUCAACUCCGGGCCUGCAGUCGAUACGGGCAGACUGGAGUUCGGCAGGGGAGAACGGAAUUCCCGGUGUAGCGGUGAAAUGCGCAGAUAUCGGGAGGAACACCGGUGGCGAAGGCGGGUCUCUGGGCCGAUACUGACGCUGAGGAGCGAAAGCGUGGGGAGCGAACAGG
This 253-nucleotide ribosomal RNA is filed under the name uncultured bacterium. Its description in RNAcentral is "partial 16S ribosomal RNA". It matches the Rfam family "Bacterial small subunit ribosomal RNA", at positions 524 to 776 of the family's 1533-position model. The record is from RNAcentral.